AUUGAACGCUGGCGGCAGGCCUAACACAUGCAAGUCGAGCGAGCGCCGGACGGGUGUGUAAUGUAUGUGGACUGUCCGUUAUAGGGGGGUAAAAACUGGGAACGGUGGCUCAUACCGCAUACGCUCUGAUAGCCCAUAUGGGAUUAGCUCGUAGGUAAGGUAAUGGCGUACCUAGGCGACGAUCCCUAGCUGGUCUGAGAGGAUGAUCAGCCACACUGGGACUGAGACACGGCCCAGACUCCGACGGAGGCAGCAGUGGGGAAUAUUGCACAAUGGGCGCAAGCCUGAUGCAGCCAUGCCGCGUGUAUGAAGAAGGCCUUAGGGUUGUAAAGUACUUUCAGUCGGGAGGCGUUACCGAAAGAAGAAGCACCGGCUAACUCCGUGCCAGCAGCCGCGGUAAUAC
RNAcentral lists this ribosomal RNA (403 nucleotides) under uncultured bacterium. RNAcentral's name for it is "partial 16S ribosomal RNA". It matches the Rfam family "Bacterial small subunit ribosomal RNA", at positions 30 to 526 of the family's 1533-position model. The record is from RNAcentral.